This 565-nucleotide ribosomal RNA is filed under the name fungal endophyte. RNAcentral's name for it is "eukaryotic LSU rRNA". The stretch from base 173 to 326 matches the Rfam family "5.8S ribosomal RNA". The record is from RNAcentral. Lineage: Eukaryota; Fungi.
CUCCCAAACCCAAUGUGAACCAUACCAAACUGUUGCCUCGGCGGGGUCACGCCCCGGGUGCGUCGCAGCCCCGGAACCAGGCGCCCGCCGGAGGGACCAACCAAACUCUUUCUGUAGUCCCCUCGCGGACGUUAUUUCUUACAGCUCUGAGCAAAAAUUCAAAAUGAAUCAAAACUUUCAACAACGGAUCUCUUGGUUCUGGCAUCGAUGAAGAACGCAGCGAAAUGCGAUAAGUAAUGUGAAUUGCAGAAUUCAGUGAAUCAUCGAAUCUUUGAACGCACAUUGCGCCCGCCAGUAUUCUGGCGGGCAUGCCUGUCCGAGCGUCAUUUCAACCCUCGAACCCCUCCGGGGGGUCGGCGUUGGGGACUUCGGGAACCCCUAAGACGGGAUCCCGGCCCCGAAAUACAGUGGCGGUCUCGCCGCAGCCUCUCCUGCGCAGUAGUUUGCACAACUCGCACCGGGAGCGCGGCGCGUCCACGUCCGUAAAACACCCAACUUCUGAAAUGUUGACCUCGGAUCAGGUAGGAAUACCCGCUGAACUUAAGCAUAUCAAUAAGCGGAGGAA